RNAcentral lists this ribosomal RNA (291 nucleotides) under uncultured Glomeraceae. RNAcentral's name for it is "partial small subunit ribosomal RNA". It matches the Rfam family "Eukaryotic small subunit ribosomal RNA", at positions 569 to 864 of the family's 1831-position model. Lineage: Eukaryota; Fungi; Glomeromycota; Glomeromycetes; Glomerales; Glomeraceae. The record is from RNAcentral.
AGCAGCCGCGGUAAUUCCAGCUCCAAUAGCGUAUAUUAAAGUUGUUGCAGUUAAAAAGCUCGUAGUUGAAUUUCGGGGUCAGUAGGCUGGUCGUGCCACAGGUAUGUACUGGUCUCACUGAUUCCUCCUUCCUGAUGAACCAUAAUGCCAUUAAUUUGGUGUUGCGGGGAAUCUGGACUGUUACUUUGAAAAAAUUAGAGUGUUUAAAGCAGGCUAACGCUUGAAUACAUUAGCAUGGAAUAAUGGAAUAGGACGUUCGAUCCUAUUUUGUUGGUUUCUAGGAUUGACGUA